Molecule: transfer RNA, 73 nt
Filed under: Ixodes scapularis (black-legged tick)
Lineage: Eukaryota; Metazoa; Arthropoda; Arachnida; Ixodida; Ixodidae
Rfam family: tRNA
About the family: Transfer RNA (tRNA) molecules are approximately 80 nucleotides in length.
Source: Rfam by way of RNAcentral
UCCCUGCUAGCACAGUCGGUAGAGCAUGAGACUCUUAAUCUCGGGGUCGUGGCUUCAGGCCCCAUGUUGGGCA